Molecule: non-coding RNA, 1162 nt
Organism: Pelobates cultripes (western spadefoot toad)
Lineage: Eukaryota; Metazoa; Chordata; Amphibia; Anura; Pelobatidae
Source: the annotation of a GenBank genome assembly
UAAAGAUACAGUAACCAUUGUUUCAUAUCAGUAUAAAAAGAGGUGAAACUUAUAGUUACUGCAACUAGAAAAUUCUGCAGUUGAGUUCCAAUUAAAUAAGUAUUACAGACUGUUUGGACCUAAUUUUUGCAAUUUCCUUAUCAGGUUUGACCUUGGCUCACAGCAGGUCCCUCUUUACCUUUUGUAUGGGUUUGUGUAUAUUGUACUGUCUUGUUCCCUAGUUGUACAACACUGAAAUGUAUUGGUACUUUAUAAAUGCCAGUAAUAAUAAUAAAAACAUUUCUCCAUGACUACCCAAAAGAGAUAAAACAUUGCAUUUGUUGGGUCAUAACUAGUUGUGGCAAGUGUUUUAUGUUGGUUAUUGUAUCAGAGAAACUCUAAUGUUUACAUUGCAGGCUCUAAGUCUGCCCUCUGUGGCUGUCUUACCCACUAGAGGGCUUCCAGAAUCCAAACCAACCUUUCGUCGGUUAUCUGACGCUGGACGUCCAGAUUUUCCCGAUAGGAAAGCAUUGAAUAAUGCUGAUGUCGGUGGGGGAGGAGCAUGGGCGGAGCCUGACAUAGCACCGAGGGACAUUGGCACUGGAUUUAGUCACGUGGCUGAAGGGGUUUUAACCCCUUCAGCUCUGCAGGAGGGCGGCCCCGAGGGAGAAGGGAACCUAUUAAACCUAUAGUGCCAGGAAAACUGUUUUCCUGACACUAUAGGAUCCCUUUAAUCAGAUAAAUAAGACCCCCAGACAGUGCUGCAACUCCAGACCUUAAUCAGAUAAAUAAGACCCCCGGACAGUAAUGGAGCUCCAGACCUUAAUCAGAUAAAUAAGAUCCCCGGACUGUUCUGCAGCUCAGAUGAAGCCUAGACUGCUUCCCUCCAUAGGCCUCCUUCUCAUUCGUCCAAGUCUUUGUGAAGUAGAUGAACAAGCAAUGCUUUCAGUAUCACAGUCAGAUAAUACAGCCUGUUUAAAGCUACAUUUAUACUUUACACACAUUGUAUCCUAUCCAUUCUAUUCAUAUAAAGGGCAAAAGAAAAUCUAACGCUUCUACCAGGAGUAAAAAAUAUAUAGCAUAGGGAGAUAGUCUAAAUGGGAACACAGCAUAAAGGGUAUAUUCAUUAAACAGUGCAAUAUAGUAUACGAAACGCAUUAACUGAGGAUCUGCAGAUUGAGGU